CCUGCGUUACUAAGCUCGACACACAGUACUUGUGAGCUAAACUUAUAUAUACAGUAAGUAAACAUUCGUUUUCACCGAUGUGGGACUUUACUGGCUAAAAACAUUUCACUUACUAUUGAUGUCCUUCGCAAAGCUCCAAACAUCUCACUGUUGUGUUUGGUCGUUCCAACCUCCAUUGAUGAAAUCCAUGGCCGCAAUUCAUCGGCAACGCCAUUGAAGAUCAGAAACUUCUCCGAACUCAAUGUUACGAUCCGUCUUCACCGUUGCGUCUGAUCGAGCUCACCAUCACCAUUGCGUUUAAUGAUCCGAGCUCACCGUAACCGUCGCAGCGAUCGAACGGCUCACCGCACCAAUUGAUAGAGCCUUACUAUCGUAUUAUUGAUGAAACGUAACCAAGAACAAUCUCAACACGGUGGUGAACCGUGAUGAGCCCAAAUCUCAAGAGUAAACACUCAAGAGCCUAACUAGUUUCCCAAA
Molecule: long non-coding RNA, 477 nt
Filed under: Brassica napus (rape)
Lineage: Eukaryota; Viridiplantae; Streptophyta; Magnoliopsida; Brassicales; Brassicaceae
Description: long non-coding RNA (BNAP_LNC012113)
Source: RNAcentral